Molecule: ribosomal RNA, 432 nt
Filed under: Brevundimonas sp. TT03-15
Lineage: Bacteria; Pseudomonadati; Pseudomonadota; Alphaproteobacteria; Caulobacterales; Caulobacteraceae
Description: bacterial SSU rRNA
Rfam family: Bacterial small subunit ribosomal RNA
Source: RNAcentral
AGAGUUUGAUCCUGGCUCAGAGCGAACGCUGGCGGCAGGCCUAACACAUGCAAGUCGAACGAACUCUUCGGAGUUAGUGGCGGACGGGUGAGUAACACGUGGGAACGUGCCUUUAGGUUCGGAAUAACUCAGGGAAACUUGUGCUAAUACCGAAUGUGCCCUUCGGGGGAAAGAUUUAUCGCCUUUAGAGCGGCCCGCGUCUGAUUAGCUAGUUGGUGAGGUAAAGGCUCACCAAGGCGACGAUCAGUAGCUGGUCUGAGAGGAUGAUCAGCCACAUUGGGACUGAGACACGGCCCAAACUCCUACGGGAGGCAGCAGUGGGGAAUCUUGCGCAAUGGGCGAAAGCCUGACGCAGCCAUGCCGCGUGAAUGAUGAAGGUCUUAGGAUUGUAAAAUUCUUUCACCGGGGACGAUAAUGACGUACCCGAGAAGA